RNAcentral lists this ribosomal RNA (1111 nucleotides) under Aster yellows phytoplasma. Its description in RNAcentral is "bacterial SSU rRNA". It matches the Rfam family "Bacterial small subunit ribosomal RNA", at positions 207 to 1326 of the family's 1533-position model. Lineage: Bacteria; Bacillati; Mycoplasmatota; Mollicutes; Acholeplasmatales; Acholeplasmataceae. The record is from RNAcentral.
CAUUAGGUAUGCUUAGGGAGGAGCUUGCGUCACAUUAGUUAGUUGGUGGGGUAAAGGCCUACCAAGACUAUGAUGUGUAGCCGGGCUGAGAGGUUGAACGGCCACAUUGGGACUGAGACACGGCCCAAACUCCUACGGGAGGCAGCAGUAGGGAAUUUUCGGCAAUGGAGGAAACUCUGACCGAGCAACGCCGCGUGAACGAUGAAGUAUUUCGGUACGUAAAGUUCUUUUAUUAGGGAAGAAUAAAUGAUGGAAAAAUCAUUCUGACGGUACCUAAUGAAUAAGCCCCGGCUAACUAUGUGCCAGCAGCCGCGGUAAUACAUAGGGGGCAAGCGUUAUCCGGAAUUAUUGGGCGUAAAGGGUGCGUAGGCGGUUAAAUAAGUUUAUGGUCUAAGUGCAAUGCUUAACAUUGUGAUGCUAUAAAAACUGUUUAACUAGAGUAAGAUAGAGGCAAGUGGAAUUCCAUGUGUAGUGGUAAAAUGCGUAAAUAUAUGGAGGAACACCAGUAGCGAAGGCGGCUUGCUGGGUCUUUACUGACGCUGAGGCACGAAAGCGUGGGGAGCAAACAGGAUUAGAUACCCUGGUAGUCCACGCCGUAAACGAUGAGUACUAAAUGUUGGGUAAAACCAGUGUUGAAGUUAACACAUUAAGUACUCCGCCUGAGUAGUACGUACGCAAGUAUGAAACUUAAAGGAAUUGACGGGACUCCGCACAAGCGGUGGAUCAUGUUGUUUAAUUCGAAGGUACCCGAAAAACCUCACCAGGUCUUGACAUGCUUCUGCAAAGCUGUAGAAACACAGUGGAGGUUAUCAGUUGCACAGGUGGUGCAUGGUUGUCGUCAGCUCGUGUCGUGAGAUGUUGGGUUAAGUCCCGCAACGAGCGCAACCCUUAUUGUUAGUUGCCAGCACGUAAUGGUGGGGACUUUAGCAAGACUGCCAGUGAUAAAUUGGAGGAAGGUGGGGACGACGUCAAAUCAUCAUGCCCCUUAUGACCUGGGCUACAAACGUGAUACAAUGGCUGUUACAAAGGGUAGCUGAAACGUAAGUUUUUGGCGAAUCUCAAAAAAACAGUCUCAGUUCGGAUUGAAGUCUGCAACUCGACUUCAUGAAGU